Sycon ciliatum is the source of this 1182-nucleotide long non-coding RNA. RefSeq lists it as uncharacterized. The record is from RefSeq and is a predicted model, not a curated record. The transcript has 11 exons. Lineage: Eukaryota; Metazoa; Porifera; Calcarea; Leucosolenida; Sycettidae.
CAGCUAGACAACGAGAUGAGGAUGGUCAUUGUCAUUUUCUGAGCUACAAACGGGCAGAAAGUUAUAUAACACGAUGAGGGUGGCGAUGGUCAGUUCUUGAGUUUCGAACGGGCAGAAAGCUACACAACAAGAUAAGGGUGGCGAUGGUCAGUUGUCGAGCUUCGAACGUGCAGAAAGUUAUACAACACGAUGAGGGUGGCGAUGGUCAGUUCUUGAGUUUUGAACGGGCAGAAAGCUACACAACAAGAUAAGGGUGGCGAUGGUCAGUUGUCGAGCUUCGAACGUGCAGAAAGUUAUACAACACGAUGAGGGUGGCGAUGGUCAGUUCUUGAGUUUUGAACGGGCAGAAAGCUACACAACAAGAUAAGGGUGGCGAUGGUCAGUUGUCGAGCUUCGAACGUGCAGAAAGUUAUACAACACGAUGAGGGUGGCGAUGGUCAGUUCUUGAGUUUUGAACGGGCAGAAAGCUACACAACAAGAUGAGGGUGGCGAUGGUCAGUUGUUGAGCUUCGAACGGGCAGAAAGCUACACAACAAGAGGAGGGUGGCGAUGGUCAGUUCUUGAGCUUCAAACGGGAAGAAAGGAGGAGGCCAACUGAGACACAAAAGUUGUGGUGAUGAAAGGCUGUGCAAAGAAUUUCCAACCACAACCCUGCAGACCGGGAGCCAAAUGAACAGGACCUCGAGCAGCUUUAAUUACAUCUGAACAUGUUUCUAUAAGGAAGAGUUGACAAGGUACCUGGAGAUUACAAUGACUCGUGCCCUCUUGAAAGAACACUCCGCACGCACACUGCUUUGCAUUUUAGAAUAUACAUACGCUUUGUGUUACUGUGCAGAUACAUUGUGUCUGGUAUAGCGAAAUAUGACCAGCACUUCAUUGUAUUGGGAUGGGUGGCCUGUUCGAUUAUAAUGGAACUUGUACUUCACUCCUAUGAAUAAUAUACUGCCGGGCUGCUAAAGAUGUGCACACUCGACUGCUUUGGUCACGGGACAAAAUCCGCUGGCCCGCACUCCACUGGAUUAUAAUACUGCAUUGCAUUGCUGGUGCCAAUGUAGUGUACUUUAUGUAUGGAGAUUUCUAAUGACCUUGGUGCACGCUAUUUACUGUUGCUAACGGGAAAGUCUAGACAAAACCUUGUAAAUCUGAGUUUCCAACUUUUCGAUACCUCAGCCAAGAUUGCCA